Molecule: ribosomal RNA, 253 nt
Filed under: uncultured bacterium
Lineage: Bacteria
Description: partial 16S ribosomal RNA
Rfam family: Bacterial small subunit ribosomal RNA
Source: RNAcentral
UACGGAGGAUGCGAGCGUUAUCCGGAUUUAUUGGGUUUAAAGGGUGCGUAGACGGUUCUGCAAGUCUGAAGUGAAAGCCCGUGGCUUAACCGCGGAACGGCUUUGGAAACUGUGGAACUGGAGUGCUGGAGAGGCAAGCGGAAUUCCUAGUGUAGCGGUGAAAUGCGUAGAUAUUAGGAGGAACACCAGUGGCGAAGGCGGCUUGCUGGACAGUAACUGACGUUGAGGCUCGAAAGCGUGGGGAGCAAACAGG